AUCUCCUUAACCUUAUGGAAACCACUCCAUUCGACUGCUAGUUGCAGGAGAAGCAAUGAGAGGAAGACCUAGUUGAAUGUUCCACAUGUCUGAAACACGCUCUUGCAUUGAUAAACAAGAUGACUUAACAGGAAAUGGUGCCUAGUAUAAAAUGACCAAAGAACCAGCAGUCCACUUGUAUUAUGGAAAAUGAGAAUGUGUCAGUGACGACAAUGGGGGUGAUAAAUACUAUUCUGAUGAUUCAUAUACUCCGGGAAGUACACAAAAUGCUCCGGCGAGGAGAAAAGGCUAAAGUUCAAAAGUGUUCAUUGAGUUCUUCGAUUUUGAGUAAAGCUUUGGAUUUUAGGUGGUAUAACCAAAGCACACAAAGAUGAUGUAUAAUGGAAAAUGAGAAUGUUACAGAUUGAACAACAGCUGUUAGAGAAGGAUCUCUAUCAUUGGUUCAUCAGGAUAGUGAGGGCAAUACAAGUGGACUGCUGCUUCUUUGGUCUUUUUAUAUAACAAAAUGAUUCAAUUUGCAGAAUUGAAGCUCAUUCUCAUUGCCAUAUCUCAAAUAAUGAAUAAUUACAAGUGUGUGAGCAUCUAUUUAUAUACAACUACAAUGCCAACUAGCUGAACUGCA
Molecule: long non-coding RNA, 622 nt
Organism: Solanum dulcamara
Lineage: Eukaryota; Viridiplantae; Streptophyta; Magnoliopsida; Solanales; Solanaceae
Exons: 4
Source: RefSeq, a predicted model, not a curated record